RNAcentral lists this long non-coding RNA (312 nucleotides) under Trifolium pratense (red clover). Its description in RNAcentral is "long non-coding RNA (TPRA_LNC012840)". The record is from RNAcentral. Lineage: Eukaryota; Viridiplantae; Streptophyta; Magnoliopsida; Fabales; Fabaceae.
ACAAUUAUGUGAAAAACCUCGUAUGGUGUUUGGGUUAGCCAUUUCAAAGAAUUUAAAAUACCAAAAAAUUGAAUUGAUGCAUUUCAAUUAGAUUGUUGCCAUUUACGAAAUACCUUGUUUGGAUAAUUAUUCGAGAAGUUGGAUAAAUACCCCAAUCUCUGAGUGAUCCGAGAACAGUUACAACUCAGAAAUCCACUCCACUGAUCUUAGUGGCACAAAUUAUCAGAUCUGAUCCAAGCAGACUUGACAGAGUCACUGAGUUGGGACUCGGACAAUAAAAUUUGGGUCUGAGGAAAAAGUGCACAACAACAU